Molecule: long non-coding RNA, 740 nt
Organism: Helianthus annuus (common sunflower)
Lineage: Eukaryota; Viridiplantae; Streptophyta; Magnoliopsida; Asterales; Asteraceae
Exons: 2
Source: RefSeq, a predicted model, not a curated record
AUAAAUUUCCAUUUAUGAUGAAGAACAGAAUACAAAUUCAACACCCAACAAAAAAGAUCAAUACAACCAGCACCCAUUAGGGCAAUGUACCACACAUAUCUGUCAUCAAAAUGAUUUUUGCAUCAAACACGAAGAAGUGGCGAGUCCCAAAUUGCGUCAACAGCGACGACAGCAGGGAUCACGAGCUGGCUUCUAGGGACAGUGAAUCUUGAAGAGUCGUCAGCAUCAGAGCCAAAGCCGGACAACCACCGACGAGUUAACCACCGGCUGAAACCCUACGCCGCCACUGAAACCCUAACGCCACGACUGAAACCCUAACUGCCUCUCCGCCUCUCCGACCAGAUCUGGAGGUUUAAUGGAAGGAUCGGAGUUUGUCGACCAGAUCUAAAUGUCGAACCUACUUUCCGGCGACGCAUGACUCUCCGGUGACUUUGGUGGUGGUCUCGAUUGUUUAUAAUGGUUGGAUUCGUGGUUGCAGGUGGUGCAGUGGUGGUUGACGGUGCAGAAGGUGGUGAUAGUGGUGGAGGUGCGGUUUGCAGGCGGUGACAGUGGUGUUUGGCGGUGGAGAAGGUGGUGAUAGUGGUGGAGGUGCGGUGGGGAUGGUGGUGGUGCGGUGGUGUUAAUGGUGGUGUUAGGGUCUAGAUGAGAGAGAGGAGAUAUACAGAAAUGUGAAAUGAAUGAUGUGUCUGUGUAUAAUAAUAUAUAUAAUUUCUCUUUAUUAAUUUUAUUAAAAUCGUGAU